RNAcentral lists this ribosomal RNA (446 nucleotides) under uncultured bacterium. Its description in RNAcentral is "partial 16S ribosomal RNA". It matches the Rfam family "Bacterial small subunit ribosomal RNA", at positions 331 to 794 of the family's 1533-position model. The record is from RNAcentral.
CCAGACUCCUACGGGAGGCAGCAGUGGGGGAUAUUGCACAAUGGGGGGAACCCUGAUGCAGCGACGCCGCGUGGGUGAAGAAGCGCCUCGGCGCGUAAAGCCCUGUCAGCAGGGAAGAAAAUGACGGUACCUGAAGAAGAAGCCCCGGCUAACUACGUGCCAGCAGCCGCGGUAAUACGUAGGGGGCAAGCGUUAUCCGGAUUUACUGGGUGUAAAGGGAGCGUAGACGGAAAGGCAAGUCAGAAGUGAAAGCCCAAGGCUCAACCAUGGGACUGCUUUUGAAACUGUCAAACUAGAGUACGGGAGAGGUAAGAGGAAUUCCUAGUGUAGCGGUGAAAUGCGUAGAUAUUAGGAGGAACACCAGUGGCGAAGGCGACUUUCUGGACUGUACCUGACGCUGAGGCGCGAAGGCGUGGGUAGCGAACGGGAUUAGAUACCCCCGUAUC